Molecule: ribosomal RNA, 373 nt
Filed under: uncultured bacterium
Lineage: Bacteria
Description: bacterial SSU rRNA
Rfam family: Bacterial small subunit ribosomal RNA
Source: RNAcentral
GAUGAACGCUAGCGGCAGGCUUAACACAUGCAAGUCGAGGGGUAGAGGAAGCUUGCUUCCUUGAGACCGGCGCACGGGUGCGUAACGCGUAUACAAUCUACCUUUUACAGAGGGAUAGCCCAGAGAAAUUUGGAUUAAUACCUCAUAGUAUUUUCGGAUCGCAUGAUUUGAUUAUUAAAGUUCCAACGGUAAAAGAUGAGUAUGCGUCCCAUUAGCUAGAUGGUAAGGUAACGGCUUACCAUGGCAAUGAUGGGUAGGGUCCUGAGAGGGAGAUCCCCCACACUGGUACUGAGACACGGACCAGACUCCUACGGGAGGCAGCAGUGAGAAUAUUGGACAAUGGGCGCAAGCCUGAUACCAGCCAUGCCGCGUG